UAUUGCGCUUGUUCCGGCCUGU
This 22-nucleotide microRNA is filed under the name Ornithorhynchus anatinus (platypus). Its description in RNAcentral is "oan-miR-92d". Its record names the gene oan-miR-92d. Lineage: Eukaryota; Metazoa; Chordata; Mammalia; Monotremata; Ornithorhynchidae. The record is from miRBase by way of RNAcentral.